RNAcentral lists this ribosomal RNA (1372 nucleotides) under uncultured bacterium. RNAcentral's name for it is "bacterial SSU rRNA". It matches the Rfam family "Bacterial small subunit ribosomal RNA", at positions 28 to 1381 of the family's 1533-position model. The record is from RNAcentral.
GAUGAACGCUGGCGGCGUGCCUAAUACAUGCAAGUCGAGCGAACGGACGAGAAGCUUGCUUCUCUGAUGUUAGCGGCGGACGGGUGAGUAACACGUGGAUAACCUACCUAUAAGACUGGGAUAACUUCGGGAAACCGGAGCUAAUACCGGAUAAUAUUUUGAACCGCAUGGUUCAAAAGUGAAAGACGGUCUUGCUGUCACUUAUAGAUGGAUCCGCGCUGCAUUAGCUAGUUAGUAAGGUAACGGCUUACCAAGGCAACGAUGCAUAGCCGACCUGAGAGGGUGAUCGGCCACACUGGAACUGAGACACGGUCCAGACUCCUACGGGAGGCAGCAGUAGGGAAUCUUCCGCAAUGGGCGAAAGCCUGACGGAGCAACGCCGCGUGAGUGAUGAAGGUCUUCGGAUCGUAAAACUCUGUUAUUAGGGAAGAACAUAUGUGUAAGUAACUGUGCACAUCUUGACGGUACCUAAUCAGAAAGCCACGGCUAACUACGUGCCAGCAGCCGCGGUAAUACGUAGGUGGCAAGCGUUAUCCGGAAUUAUUGGGCGUAAAGCGCGCGUAGGCGGUUUUUUAAGUCUGAUGUGAAAGCCCACGGCUCAACCGUGGAGGGUCAUUGGAAACUGGAAAACUUGAGUGCAGAAGAGGAAAGUGGAAUUCCAUGUGUAGCGGUGAAAUGCGCAGAGAUAUGGAGGAACACCAGUGGCGAAGGCGACUUUCUGGUCUGUAACUGACGCUGAUGUGCGAAAGCGUGGGGAUCAAACAGGAUUAGACACCCUGGUAGUCCACGCCGUAAACGAUGAGUGCUAAGUGUUAGGGGGUUUCCGCCCCUUAGUGCUGCAGCUAACGCAUUAAGCACUCCGCCUGGGGAGUACGACCGCAAGGUUGAAACUCAAAGGAAUUGACGGGGACCCGCACAAGCGGUGGAGCAUGUGGUUUAAUUCGAAGCAACGCGAAGAACCUUACCAAAUCUUGACAUCCUUUGACAACUCUAGAGAUAGAGCCUUCCCCUUCGGAGGACAAAGUGACAGGUGGUGCAUGGUUGUCGUCAGCUCGUGUCGUGAGAUGUUGGGUUAAGUCCCGCAACGAGCGCAACCCUUAAGCUUAGUUGCCAUCAUUAAGUUGGGCACUCUAAGUUGACUGCCGGUGACAAACCGGAGGAAGGUGGGGAUGACGUCAAAUCAUCAUGCCCCUUAUGAUUUGGGCUACACACGUGCUACAAUGGACAAUACAAAGGGCAGCGAAACCGCGAGGUCAAGCAAAUCCCAUAAAGUUGUUCUCAGUUCGGAUUGUAGUCUGCAACUCGACUACAUGAAGCUGGAAUCGCUAGUAAUCGUAGAUCAGCAUGCUACGGUGAAUACGUUCCCGGGUCU